This 149-nucleotide non-coding RNA is filed under the name Rhizobium sp. BK049. The record is from RNAcentral. Lineage: Bacteria; Pseudomonadati; Pseudomonadota; Alphaproteobacteria; Hyphomicrobiales; Rhizobiaceae.
CCGACCGUUCCAUCAGUCGUUCCCUACCCGAACAUGCGAAGUUGGCAACGACUCCGUGUGGAGCUUCGAGGACAACGUAACCACCGGGUGACCGGUCCACCGAACCGUGAGGCGAAGUGGAAACUGCCAGCACAAAGGCGGUGAGGUGC